Regulatory RNA element from Methylobrevis pamukkalensis, 52 nucleotides. It matches the Rfam family "serC leader". From Rfam's summary of the family: This family is a putative regulatory RNA structure that is found upstream of the serC-serA operon in some alpha-proteobacteria. The final stem of the structure overlaps the ribosome binding site of the serC reading frame. The record is from Rfam. NCBI's taxonomy places the organism in Bacteria, Pseudomonadati, Pseudomonadota, Alphaproteobacteria, Hyphomicrobiales, Pleomorphomonadaceae.
CAGCGGGACACGCCUCCCCAACGAGGCGCGCCCAUCUGAAAGGAUGGACAGA